AUUGAACGCUGGCGGCAUGCCUUACACAUGCAAGUCGAACGGUAACAGGUCUUCGGAUGCUGACGAGUGGCGAACGGGUGAGUAAUACAUCGGAACGUGCCUAGUAGUGGGGGAUAACUACUCGAAAGAGUGGCUAAUACCGCAUGAGAUCUACGGAUGAAAGCAGGGGAUCGCAAGACCUUGUGCUACUAGAGCGGCCGAUGGCAGAUUAGGUAGCUGGUGGGAUAAAAGCUUACCAAGCCGACGAUCUGUAGCUGGGCUGAGAGGACGAUCGGCCAGGCUGGGACUGAGACACGGCCCAGACUCCUACGGGAGGCAGCAGUGGGGAAUUUUGGACAAUGGGCGCAAGCCUGAUCCUGCAAUGCCGCGUGCAGGAUGAAGGCCUUCGGGUUGUAAACUGCUUUUGUACGGAACGAAAAGCCCUGGGUUAAUACCCUGGGGUCAUGACGGUACCGUAAGAAUAAGCACCGGCUAACUACGUGCCAGCAGCCGCAGUAA
Molecule: ribosomal RNA, 498 nt
Filed under: uncultured bacterium
Lineage: Bacteria
Description: partial 16S ribosomal RNA
Rfam family: Bacterial small subunit ribosomal RNA
Source: RNAcentral